UACGUAGGGUGCGAGCGUUGUCCGGAAUUAUUGGGCGUAAAGAGCUCGUAGGCGGUGUGUCGCGUCGGCCGUGAAAACCUGGGGCUCAACUCUGGGCGUGCGGUCGAUACGGGCAUCACUUGAGUUCGGCAGGGGAGACUGGAAUUCCUGGUGUAGCGGUGAAGUGCGCAGAUAUCAGGAGGAACACCGGUGGCGAAGGCGGGUCUCUGGGCCGAUACUGACGCUGAGGAGCGAAAGCGUGGGGAGCAAACAGG
This 254-nucleotide ribosomal RNA is filed under the name uncultured bacterium. RNAcentral describes it as "partial 16S ribosomal RNA". It matches the Rfam family "Bacterial small subunit ribosomal RNA", at positions 524 to 776 of the family's 1533-position model. The record is from RNAcentral.